RNAcentral lists this transfer RNA (86 nucleotides) under Epibacterium sp. DP7N7-1. Its description in RNAcentral is "tRNA-Leu". It matches the Rfam family "tRNA". Rfam says of the family: Transfer RNA (tRNA) molecules are approximately 80 nucleotides in length. The record is from RNAcentral. Lineage: Bacteria; Pseudomonadati; Pseudomonadota; Alphaproteobacteria; Rhodobacterales; Roseobacteraceae.
GCGGGCAUGGCGAAACUGGUAGACGCAAGAAACUUAAAAUUUCUCGCCUUCGUGGUGUGCGGGUUCGAUCCCCGCUGCCCGCACCA